This 453-nucleotide ribosomal RNA is filed under the name uncultured Pelotomaculum sp. RNAcentral describes it as "bacterial SSU rRNA". It matches the Rfam family "Bacterial small subunit ribosomal RNA", at positions 929 to 1382 of the family's 1533-position model. Lineage: Bacteria; Bacillati; Bacillota; Clostridia; Eubacteriales; Desulfotomaculaceae. The record is from RNAcentral.
GCGGUGGAGCAUGUGGUUAAUUCGACGCAACGCGAAGAACUUACCAGGGCUUGACAUCCCCUGACCGCGUAUGAAAGUACGUUUUCACCCUCGGGUGACAGGGAGACAGGUGGUGCAUGGUUGUCGUCAGCUCGUGUCGUGAGAUGUUGGGUUAAGUCCCGCAACGAGCGCAACCCCUACGUUUAGUUGCUAACGCGUGAAGGCGAGCACUCUAGGCGAACUGCCGUUGACAAAACGGAGGAAGGUGGGAUGACGUCAAAUCAUCAUGCCCCUUAUGUUCUGGGCUACACACGUGCUACAAUGGCCGGUACAGACGGACGCAAAGCCGCGAGGUGGAGCAAAUCCUAAAAAGCCGGUCUCAGUUCGGAUUGCAGGCUGCAAUUCGCCUGCAUGAAGUCGGAAUCGCUAGUAAUCGCAGGUCAGCAUACUGCGGUGAAUACGUUCCCGGGCCUU